Molecule: ribosomal RNA, 428 nt
Filed under: uncultured Acidobacterium sp.
Lineage: Bacteria; Pseudomonadati; Acidobacteriota; Terriglobia; Terriglobales; Acidobacteriaceae
Description: bacterial SSU rRNA
Rfam family: Bacterial small subunit ribosomal RNA
Source: RNAcentral
AACGCGAAGAACCUUACCUGGGCUCGAAAUGCUAUGGAUCAGCUGGUGAAAGCCGGCCUUCCCGCAAGGGACUGUAGUAUAGGUGCUGCAUGGCUGUCGUCAGCUCGUGUCGUGAGAUGUUGGGUUAAGUCCCGCAACGAGCGCAACCCUUGUCCUGUGUUGCCAUCAUUCAGUUGGGAACUCGCAGGAGACCGCCAGGGAUAACCUGGAGGAAGGUGGGGAUGACGUCAAGUCCUCAUGGCCUUUAUGUCCAGGGCUACACACGUGCUACAAUGGACGGUACAAAGGGCUGCCAACCCGCAAGGGGGAGCCAAUCCCAAAAAACCGUUCUCAGUUCGGAUUGCAGGCUGCAACUCGCCUGCAUGAAGCUGGAAUCGCUAGUAAUGGCGGAUCAGAACGCCGCCGUGAAUACGUUCCCGGGCCUUGUA